RNAcentral lists this ribosomal RNA (472 nucleotides) under uncultured bacterium. RNAcentral describes it as "bacterial SSU rRNA". It matches the Rfam family "Bacterial small subunit ribosomal RNA", at positions 1 to 526 of the family's 1533-position model. The record is from RNAcentral.
UGAGUUUGAUCCUGGCUCAGAACGAACGCUGGCGGCAGGCCUAACACAUGCAAGUCGAACGCCGUAGCAAUACGGAGUGGCAGACGGGUGAGUAACACGUGGGAACGUGCCCAAAGGUACGGAACAACUCCGGGAAACUGGAGCUAAUACCGUAUGUGCCCGAGAGGGGAAAGAUUUAUCGCCUUUGGAUCGGCCCGCGUCUGAUUAGCUUGUUGGUGAGGUAACGGCUCACCAAGGCGACGAUCAGUAGCUGGUCUGAGAGGAUGGCCAGCCACACUGGGACUGAGACGCGGCCCAGACUCCUACGGGAGGCAGCAGUGGGGAAUAUUGGACAAUGGGCGCAAGCCUGAUCCAGCCAUGCCGCGUGAGUGAUGAAGGCCCUAGGGUUGUAAAGCUCUUUCGCCAGGGACGAUAAUGACGGUACCUGGAUAAGAAGCCCCGGCUAACUUCGUGCCAGCAGCCGCGGUAAUAC